CGUAGGGAGCAAGCGUUGUUCGGAUUUACUGGGCGUAAAGGGCGCGUAGGCGGCGCGGUAAGUCACUUGUGAAAUCUCUGAGCUUAACUCAGAACGGCCAAGUGAUACUGCAGUGCUAGAGUGCAGAAGGGGCAAUCGGAAUUCUUGGUGUAGCGGUGAAAUGCGUAGAUAUCAAGAGGAACACCUGAGGUGAAGACGGGUUGCUGGGCUGACACUGACGCUGAGGCGCGAAAGCCAGGGGAGCAAACGGGAUUAGAUACCCCGGUAGUCCUGGCCCUAAACGAUGAAUACUUGGUGUCUGGAGUUUCAAUACUCCGGGUGCCGUCGCUAACGUUUUUAGUAUUCCGCCUGGGGAGUACGCACGCAAGUGUG
Molecule: ribosomal RNA, 372 nt
Filed under: uncultured organism
Description: bacterial SSU rRNA
Rfam family: Bacterial small subunit ribosomal RNA
Source: RNAcentral